RNAcentral lists this ribosomal RNA (259 nucleotides) under uncultured bacterium. Its description in RNAcentral is "partial 16S ribosomal RNA". It matches the Rfam family "Bacterial small subunit ribosomal RNA", at positions 524 to 782 of the family's 1533-position model. The record is from RNAcentral.
UACGUAGGGUGCGAGCGUUAAUCGGAAUUACUGGGCGUAAAGCGUGCGCAGGCGGUUAUGUAAGACAGUUGUGAAAUCCCCGGGCUCAACCUGGGAAUUGCAUCUGUGACUGCAUAGCUAGAGUACGGUAGAGGGGGAUGGAAUUCCGCGUGUAGCAGUGAAAUGCGUAGAUAUGCGGAGGAACACCGAUGGCGAAGGCAAUCCCCUGGACCUGUACUGACGCUCAUGCACGAAAGCGUGGGGAGCAAACGAGGAUAGA